Molecule: small RNA, 767 nt
Filed under: Pongo abelii (Sumatran orangutan)
Lineage: Eukaryota; Metazoa; Chordata; Mammalia; Primates; Hominidae
Description: retained intron
Source: RNAcentral
GAAAGAUGCCGAGGCGGAAGGGCUGAGCGCCACGACCCUACUGCCGAAGCUGAUUCCCUCCGGUGCAGGCCGGGAGUGGCUGGAGCGCCGCCGCGCGACCAUCCGUCCCUGGAGCACCUUCGUGGACCAGCAGCGCUUCUCACGGCCCCGCAACCUGGGCGAGCUCUGCCAGCGCCUCGUACGCAACGUGGAGUACUACCAGAGCAACUAUGUGUUCGUAUUCCUGGGCCUCAUCCUGUACUGCGUGGUGACGUCCCCUAUGUUGCUGGUGGCUCUGGCUGUCUUUUUCGGCGCCUGUUACAUUCUUUAUCUGCGCACCUUGCAGUCCAAGCUUGUGCUCUUUGGUGAGAAACCCCCUGCCCAGAUGAAUCCUUGGUCCCUCAAAUCUUGGUCUUUUGGAAUGCAGACCUCAGACCCCAAAUCCAAGUCCUUCAAAACCCAAGUCCGCCCAAGCCUAGAUGUACAUUAGAUCCCCCAAACCUGAUCCGUUAAAAUCUCAGACACAACCGAUCCUUCCAUCGAGUCUCAGCCCCCUCAAAUUGCUAUUCCUCAAACCCAGGAUCCACCUGGCUGCUGUGCCUUAAACCUACUCCUUUUCAAACCACAUGACUCCUCCCCUCUCUCUCCUCCCCUUGCCGCUCUCUGCGGCCAACAUCAGCUGCAGGUGCCCACACUGGACACCAGGUGGCCACCUUACACUGGCCUAGAUCUGUUCCCGUUUCUUUUCCAGCUUUCUGGGGUAUGACCAGAAAGAACUUGAAACAUAG